This 254-nucleotide ribosomal RNA is filed under the name uncultured bacterium. Its description in RNAcentral is "partial 16S ribosomal RNA". It matches the Rfam family "Bacterial small subunit ribosomal RNA", at positions 526 to 779 of the family's 1533-position model. The record is from RNAcentral.
CGGAGGGUGCAAGCGUUAUCCGGAAUCACUGGGUUUAAAGGGUGCGUAGGCGGUUUUAUAAGUCAGGGGUGAAAGCAUGCAGCUUAACUGUAUAAUUGCCUUUGAUACUGUAAGACUUGAAUAAGGUUGAGGUUGGCGGAAUGUGACAUGUAGCGGUGAAAUGCUUAGAUAUGUCAUAGAACACCGAUUGCGAAGGCAGCUGACUGGGCCUUUAUUGACGCUGAGGCACGAAAGCGUGGGGAGCGAACAGGAUU